AGAGUUUGAUCCUGGCUCAGAUUGAACGCUGGCGGCAGGCCUAACACAUGCAAGUCGAGCGGUAGCACAGAGAGCUUGCUCUCGGGUGACGAGCGGCGGACGGGUGAGUAAUGUCUGGGAAACUGCCUGAUGGAGGGGGAUAACUACUGGAAACGGUAGCUAAUACCGCAUAACGUCGCAAGACCAAAGUGGGGGACCUUCGGGCCUCAUGCCAUCAGAUGUGCCCAGAUGGGAUUAGCUGGUUGGUGGGGUAACGGCUCACCUAGGCGACGAUCCCUAGCUGGUCUGAGAGGAUGACCAGCCACACUGGAACUGAGACACGGUCCAGACUCCUACGGGAGGCAGCGGUGGGGAAUAUUGCACAAUGGGCGCAAGCCUGAUGCAGCCAUGCCGCGUGUGUGAAGAAGGCCUUCGGGUUGUAAAGCACUUUCAGCGGGGAGGAAGGCGGUGAGGUUAAUAACCUCAUCGAUUGACGUUACCCGCAGAAGAAGCACCGGCUAACUCCGUGCCAGCAGCCGCGGUAAUACGGAGGGUGCAAGCGUUAAUCGGAAUUACUGGGCGUAAAGCGCACGCAGGCGGUCUGUCAAGUCGGAUGUGAAAUCCCCGGGCUCAACCUGGGAACUGCAUUCGAAACUGGCAGGCUAGAGUCUUGUAGAGGGGGGUAGAAUUCCAGGUGUAGCGGUGAAAUGCGUAGAGAUCUGGAGGAAUACCGGUGGCGAAGGCGGCCCCCUGGACAAAGACUGACGCUCAGGUGCGAAAGCGUGGGGAGCAAACAGGAUUAGAUACCCUGGUAGUCCACGCUGUAAACGAUGUCGAUUUGGAGGUUGUGCCCUUGAGGCGUGGCUUCCGGAGCUAACGCGUUAAAUCGACCGCCUGGGGAGUACGGCCGCAAGGUUAAAACUCAAAUGAAUUGACGGGGGCCCGCACAAGCGGUGGAGCAUGUGGUUUAAUUCGAUGCAACGCGAAGAACCUUACCUGGUCUUGACAUCCACAGAACUUUCCAGAGAUGGAUUGGUGCCUUCGGGAACUGUGAGACAGGUGCUGCAUGGCUGUCGUCAGCUCGUGUUGUGAAAUGUUGGGUUAAGUCCCGCAACGAGCGCAACCCUUAUCCUUUGUUGCCAGCGGUUAGGCCGGGAACUCAAAGGAGACUGCCAGUGAUAAACUGGAGGAAGGUGGGGAUGACGUCAAGUCAUCAUGGCCCUUACGACCAGGGCUGCACACGUGCUACAAUGGCAUAUACAAAGAGAAGCGACCUCGCGAGAGCAAGCGGACCUCAUAAAGUAUGUCGUAGUCCGGAUUGGAGUCUGCAACUCGACUCCAUGAAGUCGGAAUCGCUAGUAAUCGUAGAUCAGAAUGCUACGGUGAAUACGUUCCCGGGCCUUGUACACACCGCCCGUCACACCAUGGGAGUGAGUUGCAAAAGAAGUAGGUAGCCUAACCUUCGGGAGGGCGCUUACCACUUUGUGAUUCAUGACUGGGGUGAAGUCGUAACAAGGUAGCC
RNAcentral lists this ribosomal RNA (1501 nucleotides) under uncultured bacterium. RNAcentral describes it as "bacterial SSU rRNA". It matches the Rfam family "Bacterial small subunit ribosomal RNA". The record is from RNAcentral.